UGUGAAUUCACUCAUCAUUUAGAAUGGCUACGUCUCUGGAUGUAGAUGGAAGAUGUGGGACGCGGCCAGACGACACUGUAUCGUGACAAGGAUCAGAGGCAAUCCACUGAUCCUCUUUUCCUGGAGGCUCAUCCAGCUUUGUAACCUCGGCGAUCUCCGCAUGAUACGUCUAUAAGAGUGAGCAGAGCCACAGCUUUCAUCUUGGCAUCGUACACCUGCGCCAGCUCAUUCCAGUGUGACCUGUUGUUGUUCAGACCAUCAAACAUGGGCUGGAUCUCUUUGUGGAACCUGGAAAACUCCUGACAGAAUGAAAUGCAGGUUAUCCACAGUGGAAGAUAAACUCCAUUAGAACUGUGUCCGACACAUGGUUUUUGUCACGCGUGAAUGGCGUUUGUGUGCUUCGAUGUUUGCCCCCUGCGCCCCCUGACAUGCCUGCUAGGGCCGGCCGGGUUCAACGGGUUCAACAUCUCUCGACCUGAGACGGUGAAAGCUACAACAACACCUUCAUAAAUCUUCUAAUGAGGCACAACGGGAAUGUUUUUGACCUGUUUUCUCAGUUUGGAUGUAUCUUCCUCUAUCUGUGCCGCUGUGUUUUUCUCCAGGGUAUUCCCUCUUCGUAUAGAGACAAAACAUACAGACUCUUUAGCUUCACUCAACAUAAUAGGGCUGGCAAUCACUAGUCAAAACACUAUGAUGAUAUUUGUCCCACAUAAUUAGCAUACAGUGAUUUAAAUACAAAUGAUUAAACGCUAAUAACAACAAAUGUCUUUUGGCAUUCCCUUUCAUUCCCUCCAUACUCAGUUAGGAUUUAGAGUUAGGUUAGGAUCCAAAUCAGGGACUGAUUGUGUGUCGGGCAAAAACCCUACCACUGUGACGUGAAAUAACCUUAAAGAAUAACAAACUACAUUUGUAAGUUGUCAAAGAAGACAUGGUGUCUACAAAGGCAUACAGCCGGACUCUCUACCUUAACGUUAUUUAACCUUGGGGUCAUGACCCCACCUGGAGUCACCUGCAAUUCAAAAGAGGUUGCCUGAAAUGUCUACUGUAGUAAUUAGAAAUGUCCGAUAUUAACUUUUAUAUAUAUGCCGAUAUUGUCCAAACACUUAAUUUCCAAUUCCGAUAUCAAGCGAUACCGAUAUAUAUGCAGCCAUUUGACCCCAAAACUGAGGUAAAAGUCUCAGGACCCUACCUGCGAUUUCUUGCAUUGUGUUAUCGGAAUUUCCUUAUCAGAGGAAAAAAUGAUAACGAUCUUACCGAUAUUACAUAAUUAUGCUGAUAUCAAGCAGAUAAUAUCGGCCGACCAUUAUCAUCGACAGCCCUACUAGUAAUUAAUAAUAAAAACAUUACCUAUACAUUUUUUUCAACAAUUUUUUUUUUUUACAAUUAUGAUUAAAAACCCCACGACCCAUGUUGAACAAAUGUAUUCUUUCACUUUCAUAAUUAUGAAUUUAGUUCAAAUAAAAGGACACAUAACAAAAACUAAUUCUUAAAAAAAAAAUAAAACGUCUCUAAAUUAGUCAAAUAAUGUCAAAAAAGAAUCAUGGGAACCACUGCUCUAGCCAAUCAAAUCUUGUCAUUAUUGGCCAUAAGAAAAUCAAGAUCAGACAAAGUCAAGUGAGGAAAGGGACUUUGAUUAGUAAGGAUUUGGAUUAGGGAAGAUCACAAGUUUACACUUGUCAAGGAGUGUGGCCAGAUAUGUGCCAAGGAGACAAACCUCAGACAAGCUAAAGAUACUGGUGUAGGUGAAUUAAUCGAUGAAUGCAUUAAGGCUGCAUGUGUAAGGAUCUGAAGCACAUUUUAACGAUGGGACCAUUAGAUACUUUGUGAAUGAAAAAAGUUGAACGAAUAAUUAUAUUUAUAUUAAUUAUUUAUCAUCAUUGAAAUAAAGGUUGGCAAUCAUCAUCAUCGGUGUAUCCAUUCAAUCAAGGGGGUUAAUGAAAGCCUCCCAUACUGAAAGUCACACUAUAAAGAAAUACCUGGAAGGAAACCUUAUAAAUCAGUUUGGCUACUUUUAGAAUAUUGAUUACAUGGAGCCGUAUCGUGAGUCAAUUUGCUCUGGUGCGACCACAGGUGUGGUGUGUCUAGCAGCUUAUUACUGACCGCUGUAGCCCUGAAGAAGAAGAAUUGAUAAAUCUGUGUCUUUUAUUCAACAAAAGCAAUCUUCCAGUCACCUAGCUUUAUCUCCGUGAAGAAUAAACAGCCUUUCAAAAGCAGUUGUCGUUACCUUGUAUACAAAUGAGCAGACAAAGUCGAUGAAACCGCACUGCAUCUUGGGUAGCUGUUCCGCACAGUUUCUGUCCAUCAUAGGCUACAAAAAGCCAGAGA
Cynoglossus semilaevis (tongue sole) is the source of this 2325-nucleotide long non-coding RNA. RefSeq lists it as uncharacterized. The record is from RefSeq and is a predicted model, not a curated record. NCBI's taxonomy places the organism in Eukaryota, Metazoa, Chordata, Actinopteri, Pleuronectiformes, Cynoglossidae. The transcript has 3 exons.